AACAUUGGACAAUGGGGGCAACCCUGAUCCAGCCAUGCCGCGUGUGUGAAGAAGGUCUUCGGAUUGUAAAGCACUUUAAGUUGGGAGGAAGGGCUUUAGGCUAAUACCCUGAAGUUUUGACGUUACCAACAGAAUAAGCACCGGCUAACUCUGUGCCAGCAGCCGCGGUAAUACAGAGGGUGCAAGCGUUAAUCGGAAUUACUGGGCGUAAAGCGCGCGUAGGGUGGUCAGGAAGAUGGGUGUGAAAUCCCCGGGGUUAACCCGGGAACUGCUUUCAAAACUGCUGAGGUAGAGUAAGGGAGAGGGUAGUGGAAUUUCCUGUGUAGCGGUGAAAUGCGGAGAAAUAGGAAGGAAAACCAGUGGGGAAGGCGAAUACCUGGACUGAUACUGAAACUGAGGUGGGAAAGGGGGGGGAGCAAAC
This 421-nucleotide ribosomal RNA is filed under the name uncultured bacterium. Its description in RNAcentral is "partial 16S ribosomal RNA". It matches the Rfam family "Bacterial small subunit ribosomal RNA", at positions 360 to 773 of the family's 1533-position model. The record is from RNAcentral.